Molecule: transfer RNA, 72 nt
Filed under: Kouleothrix aurantiaca
Lineage: Bacteria; Bacillati; Chloroflexota; Chloroflexia; Chloroflexales; Roseiflexaceae
Rfam family: tRNA
About the family: Transfer RNA (tRNA) molecules are approximately 80 nucleotides in length.
Source: Rfam by way of RNAcentral
GGGCUGGUAGCUCAGUGGUAGAGCAGCGGCCUUUUAAGCCGAGUGUCGUGGGUUCGAUCCCCACCCGGCCCA